GAGUUUGAUCGUGGCUCAGAUUGAACGCUGGCGGUAUGCUUAACACAUGCAAGUCGAACGGUAACAGGAGAGAGCUUGCUCUUUUGCUGACGAGUGGCGGACGGGUGAGUAAUGCGUAGGAAUCUGCCUAGUAGUGGGGGACAACGUGUGGAAACGCACGCUAAUACCGCAUACGCCCUACGGGGAAGGACGGGGAGUCUUCGGACCGUCGCGCUAUUAGAUGAGCCUACGUUAG
Molecule: ribosomal RNA, 235 nt
Filed under: uncultured microorganism
Description: partial 16S ribosomal RNA
Rfam family: Bacterial small subunit ribosomal RNA
Source: RNAcentral